RNAcentral lists this ribosomal RNA (645 nucleotides) under Bacillus sp. (in: firmicutes). RNAcentral's name for it is "bacterial SSU rRNA". It matches the Rfam family "Bacterial small subunit ribosomal RNA", at positions 89 to 719 of the family's 1533-position model. Lineage: Bacteria; Bacillati; Bacillota; Bacilli; Caryophanales; Bacillaceae. The record is from RNAcentral. RNAcentral also lists the same sequence under 1 other name.
AAGUUAGCGGCGGACGGGUGAGUAACACGUGGGUAACCUGCCCAUAAGACUGGGAUAACUCCGGGAAACCGGGGCUAAUACCGGAUAACAUUUUGAACUGCAUGGUUCGAAAUUGAAAGGCGGCUUCGGCUGUCACUUAUGGAUGGACCCGCGUCGCAUUAGCUAGUUGGUGAGGUAACGGCUCACCAAGGCAACGAUGCGUAGCCGACCUGAGAGGGUGAUCGGCCACACUGGGACUGAGACACGGCCCAGACUCCUACGGGAGGCAGCAGUAGGGAAUCUUCCGCAAUGGACGAAAGUCUGACGGAGCAACGCCGCGUGAGUGAUGAAGGCUUUCGGGUCGUAAAACUCUGUUGUUAGGGAAGAACAAGUGCUAGUUGAAUAAGCUGGCACCUUGACGGUACCUAACCAGAAAGCCACGGCUAACUACGUGCCAGCAGCCGCGGUAAUACGUAGGUGGCAAGCGUUAUCCGGAAUUAUUGGGCGUAAAGCGCGCGCAGGUGGUUUCUUAAGUCUGAUGUGAAAGCCCACGGCUCAACCGUGGAGGGUCAUUGGAAACUGGGAGACUUGAGUGCAGAAGAGGAAAGUGGAAUUCCAUGUGUAGCGGUGAAAUGCGUAGAGAUAUGGAGGAACACCAGUGGCGAA